UACAGAGGGUGCAAGCGUUAAUCGGAUUUACUGGGCGUAAAGCGUGUGUAGGUGGUGACGUAAGUCGAUUGUGAAAUCCCCGGGCUCAACCUGGGAACUGCUUUCGAUACUGCGUGACUAGAGUACGGUAGAGGGUGGUGGAAUUUCCGGUGUAGCGGUGAAAUGCGUAGAUAUCGGAAGGAACAUCAAUGGCGAAGGCA
RNAcentral lists this ribosomal RNA (200 nucleotides) under uncultured bacterium. Its description in RNAcentral is "partial 16S ribosomal RNA". It matches the Rfam family "Bacterial small subunit ribosomal RNA", at positions 524 to 723 of the family's 1533-position model. The record is from RNAcentral.